Long non-coding RNA from Prosopis cineraria, 658 nucleotides. RefSeq lists it as uncharacterized. Lineage: Eukaryota; Viridiplantae; Streptophyta; Magnoliopsida; Fabales; Fabaceae. The record is from RefSeq and is a predicted model, not a curated record. The transcript has 2 exons.
UAGCUUGAACCUCACACACGACAGAUAUCGCUUGGCUCUUUGGUUCUUUUUCUCUCAAAACCCUCCGUCUCCAUCACCCUUUCUAACUUUCCCUUAUGGCUGUUGUCCACAGUUGCCAGAUCUUUAGUUUGCUGUGCUGUGAAGAGACUUUAUCGUCCAACUAUUCGUGUGGGAGAGUUGCUGUGAAGCGCGUACGGUGUUUGAAAUCUAUAUCGAGGUUGCUGUUCGCGUUUGUUCCCGUCCAGCUGUGUGUUACCAAAAUCUGACGCUUCAUUGCCGUUCCAGUCCAGAUCUGAGUCUUCGCGCCUCUGCCGUUGAGUUGCUGGUCCGAGUAGUGGUAGUGUGAAGGGGAAAGACAUAAGUUUAAUUGAUAUCUCUCACAAAAGCCUUUUGUAAGAAUUGGUGUAAUGAAAAUAUACAUUAUUGGUUAUGAACUUGUAUAUAAGUUGCCAUAAUGAUGAUUUUGUUGCGCAUGUGCAUGGUUGAUUGUAAACGUGAAUAUAAUUCUGAUAUCCUAGCCUACUAUGGAUAUAUGUGUGUAUAUGAGGUGAAAAUAUGUUGUGGGCUAGUGAAUAUGUUUAUGGAUAUGUUUGUGUGCGUGUUGUGGAAUCUAGUCGUGGAUAUGAAUGAAAGCAAGAAAAAGGAAUUUUGCCCAAAA